CAAGCACAUAUAUUUGCGAUACUGCAAAUCUAACAUAAACAAGUGGUAUAAGUGAUGAUAAAACAUACAGCAUGAAGAAAGGAUCACAACGACUAUACGAGUAAGGGACGGACGGCUCCUCCUCGGCCGCCAACCCUGAGGCCGGCGCGUCGCAGUGAUAAGCUGCCAUAAAGCAUUCACAAGAGUCUUUAGUCUAGCGUCAAAUGGGCACGUGAUGAAGAACCUCGAGUAUCAAGGUCAUCGCACUAAGGAAGCGUGUGUCUGGCAGCCCUCAUGGUUCACGCCGCCUCUUAAAACCCUCGGCGUGAAGGUGUCAGACGUGAGUGUAAAGUUAGUGUGUAUUGACGAAAGGUUUGUCUCCAUUCUGACGGGACUAUGGCAGCGGCGGCGGUGAUGGCGUCGGCCCCGGAAGCGGCAGUAGGAUGCUCGUGACCUUGGCUGAGCUGAGCUGGGACAGGACUCACCUGAGGUUCCCGGAAGCGACGGGAUAACAGACGUGCUGGUUCUCCUCCACUCCUUCAUCAUCGACGCAUCUAUUAGGAGGCUGUGAGUUCGAUAUCCUCCACUGCUUCUCCUCAUUCUCCUCGCGGACGCUGUGAGGGAGCAGGUGGGAGGCUGGCUCGCCCCUUCAACACACCUUUACCUUAUAAGGAUGUCAGGUGGACCGAGUGAGGCACAUCUAACAUCCCAAAUGCUGCUUCUAAUCACUGUUUAUUCUGUGGCGGAGGAGAGGGUCGAUCUCACACCUGCUCACUGCCUUCCUCACCCCUGCCGGCCUCCCCUCAUGGCCCCUCGUGGCUGCAGGUCACAAGCGGAGUGUGUGGUGACCUCUUGUAAACACCUCUGUAACUUCUCUAUUCAGGUAUUUUGCACGCUUGCCCAUGAAAGGCGAGGCAGGACGAGACGAAGGCUUUAUAAGGCGGCGAUACAGCAGAGAAAGAAUGCCAGGCAGAGGGCGGUGCGUCUCUCGCUUCGACUUACCAGUGGAGGCUGGCGUGGUGGGAGUGCAUGUAAGGCAGAUAGAGAUAAUGUUGGAGAGAGAGAGAGAGAGAGAGAGAGAGAGAGAGAGAGAGAGAGAGAGAGAGAGAGAGAGAGAGAGAGAGAGAGAGAGAGAGAGAGAGAGA
Portunus trituberculatus (swimming crab) is the source of this 1124-nucleotide long non-coding RNA. RefSeq lists it as uncharacterized. Lineage: Eukaryota; Metazoa; Arthropoda; Malacostraca; Decapoda; Portunidae. The record is from RefSeq and is a predicted model, not a curated record. The transcript has 2 exons.